Molecule: ribosomal RNA, 389 nt
Filed under: uncultured bacterium
Lineage: Bacteria
Description: partial 16S ribosomal RNA
Rfam family: Bacterial small subunit ribosomal RNA
Source: RNAcentral
UGGGGAAUUUUGGACGAAUUGGGCGAAAGCCUGAAUCCAGCAAUGCCGCGUGUGUGAAGAAGGCCUUCGGGUUGUAAAGCACUUUUGUCCGGAAAGAAAUCCUUGGCUCUAAUACAGUCGGGGGAUGACGGUACCGGAAGAAUAAGCACCGGCUAACUACGUGCCAGCAGCCGCGGUAAUACGUAGGGUGCAAGCGUUAAUCGGAAUUACUGGGCGUAAAGCGUGCGCAGGCGGUUUGCUAAGACCGAUGUGAAAUCCCCGGGCUCAACCUGGGAACUGCAUUGGUGACUGGCAGGCUAGAGUAUGGCAGAGGGGGGUAGAAUUCCACGUGUAGCAGUGAAAUGCGUAGAGAUGUGGAGGAAUACCGAUGGCGAAGGCAGCCCCCUGGG